UACGAAGGAGGCAAGCGAUGUCCGGAAUUAUUGGGCGUAAAGAGCGUGCAGGCGGUAAAUUGAGUUGGGUGUAAAAGGCAGCGGCUCAACCGCUGUAAGCAUUCAAAACUGAUAUACCUGAGUGCAGGAGAGGAAAGUGGAAUUCCCGGUGCAGCGGUGGAAUGCGUAGAGAUCGGGAGGAACACCAGUGGCGAAGGCGACUUUCUGGCCUGCAACUGACGCUGAGACGCGAAAGCGUGGGUAGCAAACAGG
Molecule: ribosomal RNA, 252 nt
Filed under: uncultured bacterium
Lineage: Bacteria
Description: partial 16S ribosomal RNA
Rfam family: Bacterial small subunit ribosomal RNA
Source: RNAcentral